Molecule: ribosomal RNA, 1295 nt
Filed under: Neochromadora sp. NPRB.13
Lineage: Eukaryota; Metazoa; Nematoda; Chromadorea; Chromadorida; Chromadoridae
Description: SSU rRNA
Rfam family: Eukaryotic small subunit ribosomal RNA
Source: RNAcentral
UAAACGGAAUAUGGUAAAGCCGCGAAUGGCUCAUUACAACAGCCAUAGUUUAUUGGAUCUUAGAGUCCUACUUGGAUACCUGUGGUAAUUCUAGAGCUAAUACACGCAAUCAAGCCCCAACCUGACGGGAGGGGCGCAUUUAUUAGAACAAAACCAAUUGGCUUCGGCCAUUAAUUGGUGAAUCUGAAUAACUACGCUGAUCGCACGGUCUCGCACCGGCGACGUAUCCUUCAAGUGUCUGCCUUAUCAACUUUCGAUGGUAGUUUACAUGACUACCAUGGUUGUAACGGGUAACGGAGAAUAAGGGUUCGACUCCGGAGAGGGAGCCUGAGAAACGGCUACCACAUCCAAGGAAGGCAGCAGGCGCGCAAAUUACCCACUCUCAGAACGAGGAGGUAGUGACGAAAAAUAACGAGACAGUUCUCUAUGAGGUCUGUCAUCGGAAUGGGUACAAUCUAAACCCUUUAACGAGGAUCUAUUGGAGGGCAAGUCUGGUGCCAGCAGCCGCGGUAAUUCCAGCUCCAAUAGCGUAUAUUAAAGUUGUUGCGGUUAAAAAGCUCGUAGUUGGAUCUGCGGUCACAGACGCCGGUUUCCUUCACGGAAUACUGGUUGUCUUGACCUACCUUACUGGUUUUCCAUUGGUGCUCUUUACUGAGUGCCCUUGGUGGCUAGUACGUUUACUUUGAAAAAAUUAGAGUGCUUAACGCAGGCUUUUGCCUGAAUAGUGGUGCAUGGAAUAAUGGAAUAGGACCUCGGUUCUAUUUUGUUGGUUUUCGGAGCACGAGGUAAUGAUUAAGAGGGACAGACGGGGGCAUUCGUACUGCUGCGUUAGAGGUGAAAUUCUUGGAUCGCAGCAUGACGAACAACUGCGAAAGCAUUUGCCAAGAAUGUUUUCAUUAAUCAAGAACGAUAGUUAGAGGUUCGAAGGCGAUCAGAUACCGCCCUAGUUCUAACCGUAAACGAUGCCAACUAGCAAUCCGCUGGCGUUAAUUCUGACUCAGCGGGCGGCUGCCCGGAAACGAUAAGUUUUUCGGUUCCGGGGGAAGUAUGGUUGCAAAUCCGAAACUUAAAGGAAUUGACGGAAGGGCACCACCAGGAGUGGAGCCUGCGGCUUAAUUUGACUCAACACGGGAAAACUCACCCGGCCCGGACACUGUAAGGAUUGACAGAUUGAAAGCUCUUUCACGAUUCAGUGGGUGGUGGUGCAUGGCCGUUCUUAGUUGGUGGAGCGAUUUGUCUGGUUAAUUCCGAUAACGAACGAGACUCUAGCCUACUAAAUAGUGCGAGGAUCUUUA